UACGUAGGUGACCAGCGUUGUCCGGAUUUACUGGGCGUAAAGAGCGCGCAGGCGGUCGUUCAAGUCGAGUGUGAAAGCCCCCGGCUCAACUGGGGAGGGUCAUUCGAUACUGAUCGACUGGAAGGCAGGAGAGGGAAGCGGAAUUCCCGGUGUAGUGGUGAAAUGCGUAGAUAUCGGGAGGAACACCAGUGGCGAAGGCAGCCUUCUGGGCCAACACUGACGCUCAUGCACGAAAGCGUGGGGAGCAAACAGG
Molecule: ribosomal RNA, 253 nt
Filed under: uncultured bacterium
Lineage: Bacteria
Description: partial 16S ribosomal RNA
Rfam family: Bacterial small subunit ribosomal RNA
Source: RNAcentral